This 419-nucleotide long non-coding RNA is filed under the name Coturnix japonica (Japanese quail). RNAcentral's name for it is "lncRNA (ENSCJPG00005012396.1)". Lineage: Eukaryota; Metazoa; Chordata; Aves; Galliformes; Phasianidae. The record is from RNAcentral.
AUAUUUCUGCUGAUAAAAAUACCGCAUGUGCUUCACAUGAUUUUUAUAUUUAAAAGCUUUGUGUUUUUCUUUCUAGGGAACAGGAUUCUCUGGUUAAGACCUGAAAACACAGAGUGUGUUCCCAAGUUACAUGCAAGUUUUGCUGCAUACCUUCAUUAUGAUCAGCACUGGCACUUGAGUGAUGCGCUGCUGAGAAACCGAUUUGCUCUUCCAAGCAGGACUUUGAGGCUCCAGCCUUCAUGUAUCAGAGACCAGGAUGCGAAUCAUCCUUCAGGGCAUCAUAAAGGUUCCACCAAAGAAUGAAUAUACUUAUCUUCCUGAAACAGGUCUGGCAGAAAAAGAAACAUUUCUGUUUUUAAUCUGUAAUUCACAUAUAUUUUUCCUGAGCAUCGUAUGCUCUUCUGGGAAAAUUGUCAAUU